GUGCCUAACACAUGCAAGUCGAACGAGGGGGCAACCCCUAGUGGCAGACGGGUGAGUAACGCGUGGUCAACCUACCCUUGAGUGGGGAAUAACUAACCGAAAGGCUAGCUAAUACCGCAUAACACGUUUUGGGGCAUCCCGAGACGUUGAAAGGAGCAAUUCGCUCAGGGACGGGACCGCGUCCGAUUAGCUUGUUGGUGAGGUAAUGGCUUACCAAGGCUGCGAUCGGUAGCUGGUUUGAGAGAGCGACCAGCCACACUGGGACUGAGAGACGGCCCAG
This 280-nucleotide ribosomal RNA is filed under the name uncultured bacterium. RNAcentral's name for it is "partial 16S ribosomal RNA". It matches the Rfam family "Bacterial small subunit ribosomal RNA", at positions 44 to 334 of the family's 1533-position model. The record is from RNAcentral.